GACGAACGCUGGCGGCGUGCUUAACACAUGCAAGUCGAACGGAAAGGCCCUGCUUUUGUGGGGUGCUCGAGUGGCGAACGGGUGAGUAACACGUGAGUAACCUGCCCUUGACUUUGGGAUAACUUCAGGAAACUGGGGCUAAUACCGGAUAGGAGCUCCUGCUGCAUGGUGGGGGUUGGAAAGUUUCGGCGGUUGGGGAUGGACUCGCGGCUUAUCAGCUUGUUGGUGGGGUAGUGGCUUACCAAGGCUUUGACGGGUAGCCGGCCUGGGAGGGUGACCGGCCAAAUUGGGACUGGAAUACGGCCCAGACUCCUACGGGGGGCAGCAGGGGGGAAUUUUCCACAAUGGGCGGAAGCCUGAUGCAGCAACGCCGCGUGGGGGAUGACGGCCUUCGGGUUGUAAACCGCUUUCGCCUGGGACGAAGGGGGAGUGACGGUAAUGGGUAAAGAAACCCCGGCUAACUACGGG
Molecule: ribosomal RNA, 468 nt
Filed under: uncultured bacterium
Lineage: Bacteria
Description: partial 16S ribosomal RNA
Rfam family: Bacterial small subunit ribosomal RNA
Source: RNAcentral